GCUGAUGUGCCUCAAGUUAUAAAAACUUAUUCCAGGAGGCCAAAAUAAGCAAUUAAGAAACUUAGUAACUGUCAUGAGACAGCUACACAUGUAUUGGGUGGUUUUUUCUGUAGAAAUAGGGGCAGGGCAGUUAAAACAAAGGCAUUCAGAAAAUUAAGAAAAGGGAAUUCUGGGAGAGUUUCUAGCCUCUCGAAUGUCUAGAAAGGUUGUGAUCUUUACAAUUAUAUAACUAAAGUUCAUUAUUGUCUUAGGAUGCGAUUUAUUAUGUCAAUAGUGUGAUUGUUUUGUUUUCAGACUUCUUGUUGUAAUAUCAGUGAAUCUAGUGUGAAACAACAGUAUUUGUUCCCUUAUUUUCUAUUUCAACAGUAAAGUCUAUCAGAAACCUUUUUUAAAAAUUCGAAAUUUUAAUCUUCAUCCCAAAGUUUUUAAUCACCCUAAUCAGACUCAUUUUCAUUUUUUUUCUCAAGAAAACACUUUAUUGCAUUACUUUAAAAUAUGUUUCAGAUGUCCAUAAGACACCAUUGCAUCCGUUAGAACACAACUUGGGAAGGCAGAAUCCCAAGCAAUCCUAUUUAUACACGAAAUAGAAAUUUUUGCUAGAUUGUGAGCUAAUACAUUCCAUGCUCGAGGAAUAUAUAUAAUCUCGAUUUCUUCAAAAGACUUCAUCAAUACAUCCUCGCAAAUGGUCUCUAUUUCCCAAGAUGUUAUCAAAUUCUUUUGCAACAUUUGUAUGACAUGCUUUGCAUCAGUAUGUGAACCUUUGACCAACCCUUUUGUAGUGCUCUUUCCACAGCUUCCCGAAUUGCUAGUGCUUCAGCAGUUAUGGCCUUCCCUACAAAUUGAAUAGGGG
Molecule: long non-coding RNA, 850 nt
Organism: Solanum stenotomum
Lineage: Eukaryota; Viridiplantae; Streptophyta; Magnoliopsida; Solanales; Solanaceae
Exons: 2
Source: RefSeq, a predicted model, not a curated record